Molecule: unclassified non-coding RNA, 1090 nt
Filed under: Hevea brasiliensis (rubber tree)
Lineage: Eukaryota; Viridiplantae; Streptophyta; Magnoliopsida; Malpighiales; Euphorbiaceae
Source: RNAcentral
CUACCAUUGGCACUCCUAGGCUCAGCCCCUCCAAUGUAGAAUUCCAUCCACAGUGUGUAACAAAGCAGCCCACAGCUUGGUGAGCUAGGACCUCUAGUUGGUUGCACCAUGCCACGACUAUCCCUGUCUCGCCUACUGAGCUUAUAAAAUCAACUGGUAGCUUGUUUUCUGAAUCCUUGAUAACCCAUAGGAAAGGCCAGUUGCUUACUUCUAAACCCCACGCAAUUUCUUCAACCUGUUUAGCUGAAAUGUCUGCCAUGCUUCCAAAUGACACAUAUAUUACCGAGUCUGGUGGCUUUGUGUCAAGCCAUCUCAGGCACUGGUCAGUUGUUUGUUCCCAGAGACUGGCCCCAUAAGCUGUAUCUCCAUCAAUUUGUUGGUCUAGGUAGGCAGAUGGCAGGGUUGGACCAACCAUCACCACUGGCCACAGUCCCCUCAUGGCUCUUACUAGCUCAAUCUCUAGCUCUUCGAAGGAGUUGCAGAACACCCAAUCAUUUUUAUCUAAACUGUGAAAUUUCUGCAAGAUUGUUUCUAAAUAAGCAGAGUGAGUUGUUGGGGAUGCCAGAAAACUUGGCAAUUCAUAGAAGUCUAGUGAAGGAAGGCCAGGCAAAGACACAGGCACAGUUUCUUGCUUCACAGGAAGAGUGAGGAGACCCUGAUCAAUUUGCCAAUACAUGGAGCAGACAGAAGCUGAAUUGGUCAAAAAUACAGCAGCAUAUAUCCCAAGUUGUUUUGCUACAUCAACAGCCCAAGUCAGCAAUGAAUCAUACACAAUACAUGUAACAGGGNNNNNNNNNNNCUUCAAGAUGAGCUCAGUAAGAGUUCUUGAACCAACUGUCUUGAAUGAUUCUAGGUAGGCCUCUACACCUGAGGAUUGCUUGAAGCCGCCUUCAUCAAAGCCAUCAGAUAUGGGUUCAACGCCUACGUUGGGGGCAUGGAUCGAGUUUACUGUGUAAGGGGUGGUGGCGAAAGUGGCCUUGACUCCUUUGGAGGCCAAGCGCUUAGCAAACUGAAGGAGGGGGUUAAUGUGGCCUUGAGCAGGAUAAGGGAUAACAAUGACAUGGCAUCUUGGAUCGGCCAUCAGCUUUGU